UACGAAGGGGGCUAGCGUUGCUCGGAAUCACUGGGCGUAAAGCGCACGUAGGCGGAUUGCUAAGUCAGGGGUGAAAUCCUGGAGCUCAACUCCAGAACUGCCUUUGAUACUGGCGACCUUGAGUCCGGGAGAGGUGAGUGGAACUGCGAGUGUAGAGGUGAAAUUCGUAGAUAUUCGCAAGAACACCAGUGGCGAAGGCGGCUAUCUGGGCUGAAACUGACGCUGAGGCGCGAAGGCUAGGGGAGCAAACAGG
Molecule: ribosomal RNA, 253 nt
Filed under: uncultured bacterium
Lineage: Bacteria
Description: partial 16S ribosomal RNA
Rfam family: Bacterial small subunit ribosomal RNA
Source: RNAcentral